AGUUUGAUCCUGGCUCAGGACGAACGCUGGCGGCGUGCCUAAUACAUGCAAGUCGAGCGGACAGAUGGGAGCUUGCUCCCUGAUGUUAGCGGCGGACGGGUGAGUAACACGUGGGUAACCUGCCUGUAAGACUGGGAUAACUCCGGGAAACCGGGGCUAAUACCGGAUGCUUGUUUGAACCGCAUGGUUCAGACAUAAAAGGUGGCUUCGGCUAUCACUUACAGAUGGACCCGCGGCGCAUUAGCUAGUUGGUGAGGUAAUGGCUCACCAAGGCGACGAUGCGUAGCCGACCUGAGAGGGUGAUCGGCCACACUGGGACUGAGACACGGCCCAGACUCCUACGGGAGGCAGCAGUAGGGAAUCUUCCGCAAUGGACGAAAGUCUGACGGAGCAACGCCGCGUGAGUGAUGAAGGUUUUCGGAUCGUAAAGCUCUGUUGUUAGGGAAGAACAAGUGUCGUUCAAAUAGGGCGGCACCUUGACGGUACCUAACCAGAAAGCCACGGCUAACUACGUGCCAGCAGCCGCGGUAAUACGUAGG
This 539-nucleotide ribosomal RNA is filed under the name Bacillus sp. (in: firmicutes). RNAcentral's name for it is "bacterial SSU rRNA". It matches the Rfam family "Bacterial small subunit ribosomal RNA", at positions 10 to 531 of the family's 1533-position model. Lineage: Bacteria; Bacillati; Bacillota; Bacilli; Caryophanales; Bacillaceae. The record is from RNAcentral.